Molecule: non-coding RNA, 73 nt
Organism: Myotis lucifugus (little brown bat)
Lineage: Eukaryota; Metazoa; Chordata; Mammalia; Chiroptera; Vespertilionidae
Source: Rfam
GCCCGUGUGGCUCAGUGGGUAGAGCGUCGACCUGCGGACCAAAGGGUCCCGGGUUCGAUUCCGGUCAAGGGCA